Molecule: long non-coding RNA, 677 nt
Filed under: Triticum aestivum (bread wheat)
Lineage: Eukaryota; Viridiplantae; Streptophyta; Magnoliopsida; Poales; Poaceae
Description: long non-coding RNA (TAES_LNC020028)
Source: RNAcentral
UUUUUUUCUUUUUUCUGUUUGUUUUCAGAUCAAUUCAAUUCAAAUAGCAGCACAUAUCAGCAGAUAUAUAUGAUUGGAUAGACAUAUAAAACACAACGGGAUAUCAUCCGGCACCAUCACAACAAUAUAUGCAUAAGCAUCAUCACACACAAGUCUCUAAAAGAACAUCAUCACAACCAACAUAAGCAUAAGCAUAUAGAGAAGCACACAAGUCAUCUAAAUAAUCAUCACCACACACAAGUCAUCUCAAGCAUCAUCACCACACAAGGAUCAUCGAGCACCGUGGAGGUCGUCACCGCCAAGACGGCCAAAGCCCAGGUCGUCAUUGCUAGCGGCAGCGCUACCGCCACGACCGCCUCCACCUCCGCCUCCGCCUCCGUGGAUCGGAGUGGUCGGGCUCCAUGUCUCCGGAGUGCUGUGAAGACCACCGCCAAUGGUAGAUCCACCUGUUCCCUGGAUGUUGAAAAGACAUAUGCACGGGAUAUAUGACUGUGUUGAAAGGCAUGACAUGCUUUGGGUGAAUAGAUUGGGGAUGAACUAACCGGCGAGGGGCCAGCGUUCUGUGCCACAAACUCCUCAAAGCUCAUCAGCACUGGUUGUGCUGGAGGGCAUUGUGCUGGAGGGAACUGAGGACACCUGCCGGCCGCCAUAUCUUGAAAAGCCUGCUGCAUCUGGCU